This 564-nucleotide long non-coding RNA is filed under the name Equus caballus (horse). Its description in RNAcentral is "lncRNA (ENSECAG00000048109.1)". The record is from RNAcentral. Lineage: Eukaryota; Metazoa; Chordata; Mammalia; Perissodactyla; Equidae.
AUCAGAGAAAAAAGCAAAGAUUCCGGAACCAGUGGAGCUUCCACUUUCUACUCAGGCCAUAACGAGUCAGAGUCUGGGUGCGGCAUAACUGGGUCUUCUGCUCAGGGUCUCACGGGCUGUCAUCAGUGUCAGCCAGGCUGCAUGCCCUUCUGGAGACCCAACUGGGGAGAUUCCUCUUCCAAGCUCCUUCAGAUUGCUGGAACUGUGGCCUGAGGACUUGGCUUAAGAAGAUAACGACAGUCUUGCAACUUCUAAUAGUAUGUGUCAUCAUCCUUUGUCUCUGGCCCAAGAGUCCCCUGUCUUUGCAGGGCUGUGAAUAAUGUCAGUCACAGUGUCAGCGGGAAAAGAGAUUUGUUAGAUAUAUGGAACACCGUAUUCAGGCUUUGAAGAAUAGACACCAAGAAGAAUAAGUUCAACUGAGGAAAGAGCGUGACAUAAAAGUGGGCGAUCUAUGAACAAAGAAGAGGAUGAGCCUCAGGUCGCACUACCACAAACACACUAAAUUCAGUGGAAAAAAAUGUAUUCAGUGAUUCUAUUUUUUUUCUACCUGAAUGGUGACAAGUA